UACGAAGGGGGCGAGCGUUGUUCGGAUUUACUGGGCGUAAAGGGCGCGCAGGCGGCGAUCUUUGUCAGGCGUGAAAGCCCCGGGCUUAACCUGGGAACUGCGCUUGGGACGGGAUUGCUGGAGACCGGGAGAGGAGAGUGGAAUUCCCAGUGUAGAGGUGAAAUUCGUAGAUAUUGGGAAGAACACCGGUGGCGAAGGCGGCAUCCUGGACCGAUACUGACGCUGAGGAGCGAAAGCCAGGGGAGCAAACGGG
This 253-nucleotide ribosomal RNA is filed under the name uncultured bacterium. RNAcentral's name for it is "partial 16S ribosomal RNA". It matches the Rfam family "Bacterial small subunit ribosomal RNA", at positions 524 to 776 of the family's 1533-position model. The record is from RNAcentral.